CCUACGGGAGGCAGCAGUGGGGAAUAUUGGGCAAUGGGCGCAAGCCUGACCCAGCAACGCCGCGUGAAGGAAGAAGGCUUUCGGGUUGUAAACUUCUUUUCUGAGGGACGAAGAAAGUGACGGUCCCUCAGUAAUAAGUAACGGCUAACUACGUGCCAGCAGCCGCCGUAAUACGUAGGUGGCAAGCGUUAUUCGGAUUUAUUGGGUGUAAAGGGCGUGUAGGCGGGAAAGCAAGUCAGUUGUGAAAACUCAGGGCUGAACCCUGGGCCUGCAAUUGAAACUGUUUUUCUGGAGUGCGGGAGAGGCAAUCGGAAUUCCGUGUGUAGCGGUGAAAUGCGUAGAUAUACGGAGGAACACUAGUGGCGAAGGCGGAUUGCUGGACAGUAACUGACGCUGAGGCGCGAAAGCGUGGGGAGCAAACAGGAUUAGAUACCCCUGUAGUC
RNAcentral lists this ribosomal RNA (443 nucleotides) under uncultured bacterium. Its description in RNAcentral is "partial 16S ribosomal RNA". It matches the Rfam family "Bacterial small subunit ribosomal RNA", at positions 338 to 795 of the family's 1533-position model. The record is from RNAcentral.